AGUGAACGCUGGCGGUAGGCCUAACACAUGCAAGUCGAACGGCAGCACAGGAGAGCUUGCUCUCUGGGUGGCGAGUGGCGGACGGGUGAGGAAUACAUCGGAAUCUACCCAGUCGUGGGGGAUAACGUAGGGAAACUUACGCUAAUACCGCAUACGACCUUCGGGUGAAAGAGGGGGAUCGCAAGACCUCUCGCGAUUGGAUGAGCCGAUGUCGGAUUAGCUAGUUGGCGGGGUAAUGGCCCACCAAGGCGACGAUCCGUAGCUGGUCUGAGAGGAUGAUCAGCCACACUGGAACUGAGACACGGUCCAGACUCCUACGGGAGGCAGCAGUGGGGAAUAUUGGACAAUGGGCGCAAGCCUGAUCCAGCCAUACCGCGUGGGUGAAGAAGGCCUUCGGGUUGUAAAGCCUUUUUGUUGGGAAAGAAAUCUUUCAGGCUAAUACCCUGGGAGGAUGACGGUACCCAAAGAAUAAGCACCGGCUAACUUCGUG
Molecule: ribosomal RNA, 490 nt
Filed under: uncultured bacterium
Lineage: Bacteria
Description: partial 16S ribosomal RNA
Rfam family: Bacterial small subunit ribosomal RNA
Source: RNAcentral